RNAcentral lists this ribosomal RNA (387 nucleotides) under uncultured bacterium. Its description in RNAcentral is "bacterial SSU rRNA". It matches the Rfam family "Archaeal small subunit ribosomal RNA", at positions 339 to 726 of the family's 1478-position model. The record is from RNAcentral.
GCGCGAAAACUUUACAAUGCUGGCAACAGCGAUAAGGGAACCUCGAGUGCCAGGUUACAAAUCUGGCUGUCGAGAUGCCUAAAAAGCAUUUCAUAGCAAGGGCCGGUCAAGACCGGUGCCAGCCGCCGCGGUAACACCGGCGGCUCGAGUGGUAACCGUUAUUAUUGGGUCUAAAGGGUCUGUAGUCGGCCGGAUAAGUCUCUUGAGAAAUCUGGCAGCUUAACUGUCAGGCUUUCAGGAGAUACUGUCUGGCGCGAGGCCGGGAGAGGUGAGAGGUACUUCAGGGGUAGGGGUGAAAUCUUGUAAUCCUUGAAGGACCACCAGUGGCGAAGGCGUCUCACCAGAACGGACCUGACGGCAAGGGACGAAAGCUAGGGGCACGAACCG